This 486-nucleotide ribosomal RNA is filed under the name uncultured bacterium. Its description in RNAcentral is "partial 16S ribosomal RNA". It matches the Rfam family "Bacterial small subunit ribosomal RNA", at positions 28 to 507 of the family's 1533-position model. The record is from RNAcentral.
GAUGAACGCUGGCGGCGUGCCUAAUACAUGCAAGUCGAACGCUGGAGAUCUAGCUUGCUAGAUCGAAGGAGUGGCGAACGGGUGAGUAAUACAUAAGCAACCUACCCACGAAGACUGGGAUAAUCUCUGGAAACGGGGACUAAUACCGGAUAGGUAAUCGGAAGGCAUCUUCUGGUUAUUAAAGGUUAAAAACACUGGUGGAUGGGCUUAUGGCGCAUUAGUUAGUUGGUGAGGUAACGGCCCACCAAGACGAUGAUGCGUAGCCGGCCUGAGAGGGUGAACGGCCACAUUGGGACUGAGACACGGCCCAGACUCCUACGGGAGGCAGCAGUAGGGAAUUUUCGGCAAUGGGGGCAACCCUGACCGAGCAACGCCGCGUGAGUGAAGACGGCCUUCGGGAUGUAAAGCUCUGUUGUAAGGGAAGAACGGUAGAUAGAGAAUAUCUAAGUGACGGUACCUUACCAGAAAGCCACGGCUAACUACGUG